This 482-nucleotide ribosomal RNA is filed under the name uncultured bacterium. RNAcentral's name for it is "bacterial SSU rRNA". It matches the Rfam family "Bacterial small subunit ribosomal RNA", at positions 29 to 506 of the family's 1533-position model. The record is from RNAcentral.
UUGAACGCUGGCGGCAUGCUUUACACAUGCAAGUCGAACGGCAGCGGGGGCUUCGGCCUGCCGGCGAGUGGCGAACGGGUGAGUAAUGCAUCGGAACGUACCCAGUCGUGGGGGAUAACUACGCGAAAGCGUGGCUAAUACCGCAUACGCCCUGAGGGGGAAAGCGGGGGACCUUCGGGCCUCGCGCGAUUGGAGCGGCUGAUGUCGGAUUAGCUGGUUGGUGGGGUAAAGGCCUACCAAGGCGACGAUGGUUAGCUGGUCUGAGAGGAUGAUCAGCCACACUGGAACUGAGAUACGGUCCAGACUCCUACGGGAGGCAGCAGUGAGGAAUCUUGCGCAAUGGGGGAAACCCUGACGCAGCAACGCCGCGUGAGUGAGGAAGGUUUUCGGGUUGUAAAGCUCUUUCAGCCGGAACGAAACGGUACGCUCUAACAUAGCGUGCUAAUGACGGUACCGGCAGAAGAAGCACCGGCUAACUACGU